GUGUAAUAGUAGCAGUGGACAGUGUAGUAAUAGCAGUGAACAGUGUAUUAGAAGCAGGUCAGUGUGUGUAAUAGUAGCAGUGGACAUUGUAGUAAUAGCAGUGAACAGUGUAUUAGAAGCAGGUCAGUGUGUGUAAUAGUAGCAGUGGACAGUGUAGUAAUAGCAGUGAGCAGAUUGAUGGGUGGCUUCUGGGCGAUUCCGGUUAUCCUCUUCGACCGUGGCUUUUAAGUUGAGUUUUAACACCAGUCAAUCGUCCAAGUUGCCGGGGAGAAGAUCGAUAUAACCGGUCACACAGAAGAUCAAGGGUUGUCGUGGAGCAAGCCUUUGGCGUUUUAAAAUCUCGCUUCAGAUGUCUGCAUAAAACAGGAGGGGUUUUGGAUCAUCAACCUACAAAGUGUUGCAAGAUUAUCUUUGUCUGUUGCCAGCUACACAAUAUCUGUAUCGACAAGCAUCUUCCAGUUAGUGAUAUUCCAGAAGAACUGCCCGAAGACGAAAAUGAUGUUGUGUACCAGGGUCCGGUCAAUGACGGUAAAUCAACCAGAGACCAACUAAUCAGGCAACGGUUCUCUUAGAUGCUCUCCGUCACUUGGAGACUUUGGCAGAGUAAGAGUGGCAGCAGGACCCCCAGGCAAAGCAUGGGAUGGGCCAGGAGAUUGUGAAGGCACAUGGCUGGGAACAACAGCU
Long non-coding RNA from Magallana angulata, 684 nucleotides. RefSeq lists it as uncharacterized. The transcript has 3 exons. Lineage: Eukaryota; Metazoa; Mollusca; Bivalvia; Ostreida; Ostreidae. The record is from RefSeq and is a predicted model, not a curated record.